UACGAGGGGGGCAAAUGUUGUUCGGAAUCACUGGGCGUAAAGGGAGCGUAGGCGGGUUUCUAAGUCAGGUGUUUAAUCCCGGGGCCCAACCCCGGACAGGCACUUGAAACUGGGAAUCUUGAAUAGUGGAGAGGUCAGUGGAAUUGGGGGUGUAGCGGUGGAAUGCGUAGAGAUCCCCAAGAACACCAGUUGCGAAGGCGGCUGACUGGACACAUAUUGACGCUGAGGCUCGAAAGCAUGGGGAGCAAACAGG
Molecule: ribosomal RNA, 253 nt
Filed under: uncultured bacterium
Lineage: Bacteria
Also listed under: 1 other name
Description: partial 16S ribosomal RNA
Rfam family: Bacterial small subunit ribosomal RNA
Source: RNAcentral